AGUAAUUUUGUUUUAAAAGUAUUUUGUGUAUUGUAAAGCUGGGGGAACCAGCGAGGAGCGCCUUGGAAUAGCCCAGCUGGGAAGUGAUGGAGGCGUGGGAGUAUUUUAGCUGCUGUGGGGUGUGAGGUUUGCCACUGCGAGGCGAAGGGAAUCUGAACAUAAACGAUAGGAGGAGUCGCAAUACAUCUCCAGCAAUGAACAAAGACAAAGUAUUGACGCGGGGAUAAGAGUCAACCUCUCAAGUGAACAAACGUUUAUCCACCAGACGCUGACUUUAGACGAUUUCUGGUUGCAAUUCAUCCAGAUAUAUUGACGUGAAUCGAAGUGAGUCGAGAAUGAAGCAGAUUUUCAGCACAACGUAUAUUAUUUGGAAUUUAACAAUUAAGUUUUUGUGUGUCUUGGCUGAAAUUGGUGUUUCACAGUCACCUCAGGCCGUGACAGGGAAUGAAAAUGGAAACGUAUCUAUGGAGUGCAACACCACUGUGUCCGACCCAACCUUUCAUUGGUACACGCAACAUGGAAACGGCUCCAUCCGGUUCUUGGUUUUGGGAACAAGAGAGAUCGAUGUGAAGGACAGGCUAAGAGGCUAAGAGCUUUGGCUAAUACAAGACAGAGAAACUGCACUCUAAGAAUCCAAGACUUGCGAGUGUCAAACACCGCCACUUACUUCUGUGCGGCGAGCACAGUGCUCCGUGUCUAAGAGGGACCUGUACAAAAGCAUUCUAUGUUUACUGCAGCUCAAUGGUUAGAACAUUUGCCUCGCGAGCGAGGUCAUUGGGUUCAAUACGGGCAGGUUAAAAUGUUGGUCAAGUUUCGUUACUCCACAUGCGUCUCUUUAUCCAGCAGUAAGUCGGAAUAUGGUUGUUGGUUGAUUGACGGAUCGCUUUUCCGAUGGUAAUAAUUCCUAUAUAUAGAGAAAAAAUUUCAAUCCACAACUGUUUCAAUCCACAUUUGCUGCGCGCAAAUGGCUGUGAUAUCUUGCCCAUAACACAAGCAGUCAAUUCACUCCACGGUACAGACUACCAAAUGCUAUGUAUCAUCGAAUACGUGAUAAAGCACUAUAUUAAAUACGAAGUUUAUUAUU
Long non-coding RNA from Callorhinchus milii (elephant shark), 1084 nucleotides. RefSeq lists it as uncharacterized. The record is from RefSeq and is a predicted model, not a curated record. The transcript has 3 exons. Lineage: Eukaryota; Metazoa; Chordata; Chondrichthyes; Chimaeriformes; Callorhinchidae.